GAACUUUCGACACUGGACCAUCAAAUCUUUACCAGACAUCGGGACGAAGCUCCCCAGUUGCUGGAGGCAUCCACCUUCCAGAGUUGUACACAUUUUCACCCACUUUCCAACCAGGCACGUCUUUCAUGAUUCUGGCCUCUUCCUCGAGAUACUUCUUCCAUUCUUUGACAAAUCUAGAAGAAACGAGAGCAAAAAAAGAAGAAAAAUAGAAUAAGUGCUACUUCCUUGUGGGAAAAGAAACUGAUUUAAAUAAUCAAGACUAGUAAUAGGACACUACAGAAAAUACAUCACCUUUCAUCCUCUUCGGCUUGAAGCAAUGGCAAUAUUGCCCUGCGGGCAGCAUAUUUUUCUUCCUUGAGCGCCCUGUACAACAAAAAAAACCAUCAACUUCCACUUUACAUAUAUUACUCAUAUAACUACUCCAGGCAUUAUUUGGGGAUCCUCUCCUUAUAAAGUAACAGCAGCAUUUAACUUGCUACCAAAGUGCAACUAAAAAUAAACUUAUGAAGAUAAGAAAAAGGAUACUAUGUACAUAGGCAUCUGCAAAUACCAUAUACUAUUUGUCAUUUAUUAGAAUAUUGUGAAUGAAAUGGAGAAAUGUACUUUAUGUUCUCCAAAGAAAUGUGGCAAUAGAACCACCUGGUAUAUGACAAAGACCAACAACAUUCCUUUUAUGGAGCUUAUAUUUUGCCAAACCAAAAUAAGUUGAUUUCAUAAAUCUCAGGUUCAUCUCGACUUUCUUAAUGCGUGAUAAAAGUUAUAUGAUCCAUUUCCAAUAGACCGCAAUGUUUUAAUGAUUCGUAGGAUCACAUUUAUUUUCCUGCUGUAUCUCAAGAAAAUUAGCAAAAGAUAUAAAUAAGGUGUUACAUGACUUGAUAAUUUGUCAGAAAUCUGAACUGCUUUUGCAUGGAAAAAAAAAUAUAUAAAAUUUGUUUAAUAUUAUUCCCAACUACAUUUCGGUUUGCCAUUCCAUUUAAUAAUAUGUGCAUUGCUUGGAACAUUAUAAUUUCCCUAUAAUUUAGUGGUCAAAGUCAAAAAUUUCAACCAAACAUUUCAUAGAACCCAAAGCAAAUACCUACUUAUCCACCACUCAUUUCUAUCACAUUAAUAGCUUAUAGUUUUAUCCUAAGUGCUUGUUUGGGUUCCAAUACAAGCUCCUUAUAAUUUAAAAAUCAAAAUCAAACUUUAAUUUUUAACCAUACAUUUCAUAGAACUCAUAACUUCUACUCCAUUAAUAUACCACUCAUUUCUAUCACAUUAUAUUUUAGCAACUUAUAAUGAUACCCAAACAGGCACUUAGUCUCAUAUCCUUAUGGACUUCAACCCUUUGAUGCUCGGACUCUUCGAAAUAUUUAAAGUACUCGUGUCGGACAUGACACAACAUGGGUAUAGGAUAUAUAUCGGAUCCUCCAAGUUUUAAUCGGAUACUUUGUCGUUUUUGCUUCUUUCUUCUUUCUUUUUCUUUCUCGUUUCCGCUCUCUAUACUCCUAGUGUCGCCACCAAGAGGGUGGACAAAGGUAGCAACACUAAGUUUUCCCUUCUUCUUUCUUUUCUCUUUCCUUUUUUUUUCAUUUUUCCCCCUUCUAUCCUUUUGUAUAUCGGUAGUUUAGGGUUUUGUUUGUAUAAAAUAAAGGGAAGCGUUCCUCCUACACAUGAAUUUGACAAGUAUUUUUGACAAAAUAAUCGUGACCUUUAGAUGAAGCAAAUCUAACGGUCAACAUGUAUUUCACUAGGAUCAUGGGAGAGCUAGUUAUAAACACUUGAGAUCUAUGAGAUACUAACUGUUGGAUUUGCUUCAUCUAAAGGUGUCAAGGACCGCAGCUUUACUUAGCCCCUUGACACUAUCGCAGCCGCAGUUUGCCCAACUUCGGCCGCACAUUGUAAAUAUUACUUCAAGUUUGAGUUGUAAUUUUCGUUUCAUUGUAAUAGUUAUUUUAAUUGUAAAAUAGCUCUGAUAUUGGUAAAAGAUUAGUAUGAUUCCUCGGCUUUUAAACGUCUACUCCCGUCACUUGGGUUUUUGUUCAGAAUGCUAUUAUAGGGGGUAUUAGUCAUUCAAAAAUCUUUCAAGCUCACUGGUGUCCGCCCCCUGCACCAGCAUUUGUAAUUUUCUGCUUUCAUCAAUUGUAAUGUUCAGUUUUCAGCAAUCAAUGUUCAAUUUACUUUCAAUGUAUUCAAAUUCUCAAUUGUAAGCUUUCUACAAAAUUGCAAUCAAAUUUUCUUUCGUCCCGACGCGACGGACUUGACAAAGUCUGCCAGGUUGAGGCCAAGUAUCCUGCUUUGCUUUUUAAGCAGCAGCUGACUGCUUACGUUGAGAAGAUCUAUGGUAUCAUUCGAGAUAAUUCAAAAAAGGACUUGUCAUCACUUCUUUCUUCAUGUAUCCAGGUAGCACUUCCUCGUUUCUAAAUUAAAUCUUUAAUGAUCUGUUGUGGUUCUGUAUGACGUAGCCUUUUAUGUUUUCUUGUCUUUCGUAUUUAGAUUUUGUAUUUUGUGUUUCAGGACUUAAGGAAUAAAUCAUGUAAAAUGUUUUUGUAUUAGUUGCAUUUCAGUAGAGGUUUAGAAGAUAAAUCACCCUUCAAAGAACUACUUCCCUCCGUCCCAUUUAUAUAAGCUUGUUUUGUUUUUCACACGGAUUAAGAACUCUUAUUUAAUGUUAUUAAAAGUUUUUUUGCCAAUAACUUGCCUAGUUUACCCUUGUUUAUAUUUGUACAAUUUCAAGAUUAAGGGAAAAAAUUGGUUAUAACUAGACAAAUUAAAUAAGGGUGUAUUAGUAAACGAAAAAAAAAACAAGCUUAAUAAAGAAACAUGACUAUAUAAUCAGGACAAGAAAAUAAGGAAAGUAAGCCUAUAUAAAUGGGAUGGAGGGAGUAUUUAUUUCGAAGCCAAUAUUUCUAACUAUUACCAAAAAUGGAAAUUUCCUCUCCAGUUCUUUUACUGUUUCUUUUAUCAGUAACUUCCAAUUUUUUCAUUGUUUAUACCAUAUUCAAGAGUUUUGAACUUCAUAUCUAAUGUUUUAUAUAUGGUACUUAAUAUUUAUCUUCCUAACAAUUCAGACACCAGGAACGACUACAGAAACAAUUCAGGUGCCCAGAACGCCUACAGAAACAUUUCAGGCUCCUGGAACGUCAACAGAAACAAUUCAAGCACCCGGAACGUCAACAGAAAAUUCUUUGCGAUCAUCUGGUAUAUCCUUCGACAGUAGAUAUCCUACCAAUGACUGGAAAAGCAUCAUUGAGAGCCUAAAGGGGACUCUGAGUACUCUGCAAGACAAUUUUGUAAGCAAUACUAACUAUAUUAAUACCUUGGAAGUUCUAUCCACUCCAAUCUUACAAUGCUUGUUUCAGGUGCCUCCCGUCCUUGUUCAGAGAAUAUUCACGCAGAUCUUUUCUUAUAUUGACGUCCAGCUUUUUAAUAGGUAGCUCUUGUAAAAGCCCUGAUAUUUUCUUUUUAUAAUAUUACCAGAUUUAUUUGUGUGGUGUAACAUUGUUGCAUUUUUCUCAGCCUUCUCCUUCGUAGAGAGUGCUGCACAUUUAGCAAUGGUGAAUAUGUAAAAGCAGGUUUAGAUGAAUUAGAACUUUGGUGUGGACAUGCAAAAGAAAAGGUAGACUUUUGGUUUUAGCUGGUUAUUGCCAUGCAUCUAUUCCUUUAUAUUUUUAUAGCAUUGGUUGUAUAAGUUUAUGCAUUUGGAUUACUCAUGCUGCAAAUUGUAGAUUGUCUAACUAUGAAUCUUGUUUCAGUAUGUGGGCUCAUCUUGGGAUGAAUUAAAACAUGUACGGCAGGCUGUAGGGUUUCUGGUAUGUUUCUUGUUCUCUUGCUGGCAAAUAAUUUUAAAUCACCAGUAUUUACUGCAAUUUAUUGGACAUCUGUGAUGAUUUAUCAUCAAUUGAACUGAAAUUGACACAUGUUGAACAUUGCUGAAGUCUACUUAUACUUUUCACUCAUGUUGACGAGAAUUAUACAGCCUGUAGUUUGACUCAAAAUCUUACCUCAUCUGCAGGUCAUACACCAAAAGUUACGAAUAACCUAUGAAGAUCUUACUUCUGACUUGUGCCCUGUAAGCCUGUCCAUCUUUGUGUAAUAUUUUCCUUCUUUUCUUGAUUGUCUCAUUUUCUUAUGUUUCUUCUCUUUACCUGAUUCUUUCAUCAUGUUCCAUUCACUCCCUGAUAGAGAAUAGAAUUAGUGCAAUUUUUUCUCAUCACUUUGAAUUCAAAGUAGUGAUGAAUUCUAGCACUGAUAGAAGUACUAUUCCUUAACUCAAUGCAAGAAUAAUUCACAGAAUUUCUGUAAUUUUCUAUUUUACUGAUAUUUUAUUAUCUUUUGAUAUUCCCAGAUGCUAACAAUUCAACAGCUUUAUAGAAUUUGUACUCUCUACAGGGAUGACAAUUUUAAUACUAGCAGUGUAUCUCCAGACGUAAGUUUCCGUUCUUCCAACUGCAAAUAUGAAUUCAAAAUUGUAUCUCGAUUUUCUCCUAUAUCCCUACAUUGGAUUUCUACAGAUAAUCUCUAGCAUGAAGAAUAUCAUGAUGUUGGACUCUCAUGAUGCCGAUAGCAACUCCUUUUUGUUGGAUGAUAACUCAAGGUAUCGUUGUAAGAGAUUUUUUUUCUCGACUCAUAAAAUUAUGUUCAUAUAUUGAUUAUCUUGUUUUUGCUGCUGCAGCAUCCCUUUCUCGGUCGACGAUAUUAGCAGUUCUCUCCAGGAUUCUGAUUUUACUGGUGUGAAAGCAGCAGCAGAACUACUUAAACGUCCAUCCUUUCAAUUUUUACAGGGAUAAGGCUCUUCUUUUCUCUAGUCGGGUCAAUCCCAUAAUGCAAAUUCACUCCACUAUUUGCUAGAUAGAUUUCUCCAUAAAUAUAUCAUCGACACUGACCCGGAUGUAUUACUCGAUUAGAUUGUAAAAUUCAUAGGUUUAGUCAAAUAGAUAGAACGGACAGAUGAAUAUUUUCGACAUAGUAGUCCUUCCUCUUGGAGCAUUCUUUAUAGCAACUAAUGACUGAAAUAAUCUUUGGGAAGCAGUUGUUUCUAGCCUCCCAAAUUUCAGUUGUAUAAACAAAAAUAUCUUGUCUCAAUAGUAAAAAUGUGAAUGUUUGGGUUAUGCAUUUAUUAAGUGUAAGAUAAUCGAUUUGAUUUGAUUUUCUUUUUUAAUUGCUGCCUACACUUUGGUUUUCAGUUUGCAGAUUUUCUGAACAUAAAUAUUUUCCUUUUAUACUUAUUCAUACUUCAAUUUGAGCUGUUGCUUUGGAAGCUGGUUUGUGUAUCUGGAGGUGUUGAACUUAGGUUGUGGUGAUAAAGUAGAUUGGGCUAUUGAAGCUUAGGGCACUUUUGGACGUACACUAAGACAAGAUCAGUGUUCUAAAAAAGCGCUUAGAUGAGAGGCAUAGACAAAACGCUUUGCCUCGAUAAUAAGUGCGAAUUAAACGGUCAAUUGUUAAGUUGACUGCUUAAUGUGCGCCUAGAAGUUCUUUAUUAUCUUCGUCUUCUUUUUUUUUGUAAAAAAUAUUUUAUUUGAUUUUAGUUUAUUAACUUUUAUUAUUAUUAUUUUUUCUUUUUUUUUUUUCGUUAAAAGGUUUCUAUUUGAUUUUAGUUUCAAGUUUUUAAAUUGUUAUAUAUGUACAAAAAUAAAAAAUGACUUUAUUCGAUAAAGAUUUAGAUAAGAUUUAUCUAUAUUAUGUAAUUAUGAUUUUGAAAAUUUGUUUUGCUAGAAACUUUGAAAGUAUGAAAGAAAUUCCUAUAAACCUGUCUAGUAGGAUUUGUUUCAUUGAAAGUUGAAAAAUAUGAAAAGUAGUCUAACUUACACAUUUUGAAAUUUUGAAUUGACUAAUUUUAGAAAUUAUAAAGUAAAUGUAGUAUUUCAUAAUUUUAGAUAUUUGGUAUAUAUUAUUUUAAUUAUUAAAUAAAUUUUAAAAUGAUUAAGUAUUUAAAAUAAUAAUAAAAACGAACUACCAAUAUUUAAUGUAGGGGUAUAUUAAAAAAAGGAAGUAAAAUUUAUAGUUCUAACUAUAAUAAUUAAGUUUUUUAAUUUAUGUGAAAAGGGCAAAAGGAGAAUAAUGAAAAACUUAAAAAAUUAAUAGUUUUAAUGUAACACUAUUCAUUACAUCAAAUUGCUGGGAAGUUUUAAUGUACCAUUGGAGAUAUCCUAUUAACCCAAAGCUAAACAAUAUUGAUUUGCCAUUUUUUUAUUUUUUAACUCAAACCCAAAAAAGAGCAGAUCAACAUACACCGGUACUAAUAUUGUGCAUGAAACUAACAUAUAGAAAAAUAAAUUCAAUUGGAAAAUAUGAUAGCUUGAUUUUACGAUUACGUCAUUCAUUGUCUGUAAUGAUACAAUUGUGGUUUUACUUGAUUUUGUUACGACGGAGAAUGUGGUCUCUCCUCAUGGCAUUCGACUAUUUCUUCUGCCGUGUCUUGUUCCAAUUCUUCCUAAUGGUUGUGUUGAACAAGAAAAUCUAGAGUUCCGAGUUAUGCUUUUUGAGAAAUUUACCAUUGAUAUGACCUUCGGCUAUAACCAUUUCACAGGCACUCAAAAAUAAUUUGUGCUCCUUAUCGUCCCAUUUGACCUUUUUCCUUAAUUUUAAUUAUCAUCCUCAGAAAUAAUAAAGCAUUUUCAACAUAUCUCCACUUUUCUGAAAAUAUUUUCCAGCUUCUAAAUUAUGGGAAUACUCCUCUCUCUUAAGAAAAUGAUUAAAAAACUAUUCUGUCGAAAUUAAUUUAAUAUUUCGACUUCUUUGUGUUGUCUCAUGUGAAUUUGGGUAGAAGACUCAUUUAUCUUUAGUAAUCCUUACAAAAUAUCCUUCUAGACUUCAUUUGGUAUUUUUUUCCAUCACCUUGAUUCUUAAGCAUUAUCUCCUCUUGCACAAGCAUAUUAUGCAAUUCACGUAUUGAGGUUUAUUUGUAAUUGACCAUACUUAGAAGGUGAAGAGUAAUUGAUAAAUUAUUCCACGAAAUUCUCAUCCAUAGUCAUCCUUGGAGUCUUAAGUCUUGAUAUAAUAUUAGACAUCUUAAUGACAUGCUCGUGUACAGUGUGGGAACCAUCAAAAUUCAUGACGGUUAAAGUAGCCAUUAUUAGUGUUGUAGCAAGUGACUUAUCAUCAUUUUUGAAAUGCUCUUCAACAAACUUCAUAAUUUCCUUAAGCAAUUUUCAGUUCUGAGAAUAGUAGACUUAUAUCCUUCUCUAAGGUGAGUUGCAUGAACAUUAGACCUUGGAAUUGGAUUUGUUCAUCCUAAUUAGAGAAAUUAAGCCCAUUGAACAAUGAAACGUAAGAAGCAUGUGAAUGUGCGGAAACAAGAACAAACACUACGAAAUAUCAAAAUAUAAAAUGGUAGUACAUUAAUGCUUUGGACAAUUUUAACAAUUUUAUAAUCUAUAAACGUCAAUGUACUCACAACAAUAUAUAGUAUUGAUUAUGUCAUUUUCUUUUAUAAGCAUCAAUCUAUCAUGAGCAACUGACGUAAAAUAUGUAAUUAAAUGGUCAUAGUACCAUAGGAUUUGGCCACUUUGAUCACUAACAAACAACAUUAAUUGAACAUUAAAUUAUGCAACUUUAAUUUACAUAAAGAAACAUUUAUACAAAUAGUUCAUAAAAGCUUUAAAAUGAAUCAGCAAUAUUAGUUUAUCAAUUACUGCAUAAUAUAGAGAUGAUAAUUAAAUGUGUUAUCCAUAAUCCACCUAAUAAAUUAAUGUGCCAUGACAUCAGUGAUUAGUAUAAGCUAAGAAUCGAUGAUUAGAAUAAGCUACGCAACUGCUUUAUAGAUCAUUUCAAUAGAUAUGUAUAACAAGUAUAAAACGUAUAAAAAAACCAAGUUCAUUAAUAGAAGCACUGUUAUCUGUAUAUGCAUGCCACAUGUCUAUAUAAGGAAACAGUGAUAACUUGAUUAUUGUGUAAUAUUUAGGUUUCAUUCAUUUACAGCUGCAGAAUAAUUAAUUUACUCAAUUGAAAAUUAAUCUUCAUGAUAAAACAAUAAUCCUGAGACAAAAUCAUAAUAUUUCCAUUGACUUUUCUGGUUUUUUGAUCCAUAACCAUAACCAUAACCAUAAUUUUUUUUUUUUAUCAAACCUGCAAAUUAAGAGAAAAGGAAACUGUAUUUUCUCUCUUAACCACUUUCUUGUAUUUACUUCAAUUGAUAAGUAAAUAUAAACUUUAAUGAGCAGAGAGAGGCAGUUUCUGAUAAAGAAGUGUCCACCCUCCAUCAAAGUGAGUUAAGAAAUUAUCCACUUCUUAAAUGUACUAAUAAAUUUUGGUGCUUCUGUUUUAAACAACUUAAUGAAUUUAAACAAUGAAAUUAAGAUUACCAAAAUCAUCAAGAUUAUCAAAAUCUUAGAUCAAGUUUACAUCAAGAUUAUCAAAAUCUGGUUGAUAUUUAAACAAUUAAAUUAAGAUUCAAUUUCAAAACAAAAAUAUGCAUAGAAUAAGGGGCAAUAUAUUCUCAACUAACUUCUGAUUCUGAUAUUGUGAAUUCAAAUUUUGUCAAUCUUAACUCUAUAAAUCAUUAUAUAAAGAGAAAAUGUUAAUAACCAGAAACACUACCAGAGAAUUACUUUUCUUGAAAAUGAAAAUCCUUUUCUGUUUACUGAUCUUAUUUUUUCGGUUUGCUCAAAUACUGAGUUCUUUUCACUUCUCUAAAGGAUAUGAUGUUCAUGUUGUGAAUGGGAUACACCUAAGUCCCAAUCCAUUGAGGAUUCAUUGUGCUUCCAGAGAUGAUGAUUUAGGAUAUCAUACACUAAGUGAAAAUCAAGAUUUUCAUUGGCACUUUUAUGAAGAUAUACUUCUCAGAACAUUAUUUUUCUGUCACUUUUGGUGUGGAAAGAGGCAAAAAGCUUUUGUUGUUUUUAAGGAUCCCACCGCCUGUCAUAUUGGUCAAGGGGACGAUGAUCAUAAUCAGUGCUAUUGGCUUGUAAAAGCAGAUGGGUUUUAUUUUGCCAAAAAAAAUCCCCCUUCUCCCUCUGAUUUGAAGAAAAAAUAUGACUGGGAAUUAUCCCCUUAGACAUUAUAAUCUUCACAUUAUACUUAGAUUAUGAAAUAAAAGAACAUAUAGUUAUGUUUAAUGUCUGUUGUCUCUCCUCUUGCCCAGUGUAAAAUGGGUUAUGUAAACAAAUUUUUUAUUUCUUUUUUGCUUACCAAAUUAGUUCUUUUAAGAAGACCAAAGAUGCUUUAGAUGUGUUGUCCGGAGCCUGGGCAGUCUAAAUUAGGUUUAUGUCACUAUUCAAUAUAUAUUGAGCAGUGUUCUAAAAAACGAGCCUAACCACGAGGCUCGGGCCAAACGUCACACCUUGGCAAUGAGAGUUUAAUGACACUCAUUAAUUUUAUUUAUUUAUUUAUUCUUUCAAAAGCCUUUUUAUUUGACUUUAGUUUCAAGUUUUUAAAUGAAUUUACCUCUACAAAAGUUAAAAAUGAAAGCAUGUUAGAAAAUUUCAAGUAGGAGUUCUUUAGUUGGAAAACUUGAUAAUUAUAAACCUGACUAAUUGUAGAAAUUAUUAACUAGUGUUUUAUAAUUUUAGAUGUUUGGUAUGCAUUAUUUUAACUAUUAAAUAAUUUUUAGAAUGAUUAAAAAUUUAAAAUAAAGAUAAAAAUAAGAAAACACUUUUUAUGCCUAGGUCGGUAAAGUUUGAAGUUUGGUCUCCACGUCUAAUCACGCUUUAUGCUAUUAAGAACACUGAUAUUAAGCGUCACGUGAUGUGGAUGAUUGUUCUCUUACUAAAACUAAUUCAAUAAUACAAAUAUUUUCGUUUUUUCGAAACAAUAUCAUCAACGAAAUUGAAGGAAAUUGUGGAGCCAUAGCAUAUUGAUUCAGUGGAUUGGUGUAAUGUAUGGGUGGAUGAGAAGACUGGUUCCAAAUGAUGAAAUUGAAGGCAUUUUUAUCAUUAUGGAUUGCAUGUUCAUUUAUUUUAGACUUGUAUGUCGACUAGUAUCAGAUAUAUAUAUAUCGCAGUUGGAUAUAAGAAGACAAUUAGUAUAUAAACGUAUUUAAAAAUUGACCCGUUAGUCUUCCUUUUGCCUCGAAAAAUAUUAGAUAGUAUUAAUCCAUAAUCAUCCACAAUUUAGUUCUAUAUUUUUUAUUUACAUAGUAGAUGUAAAAUACCACAUGCAUGAUUGUGAUGAGACCAAAUUCUUUAGUUAAAUAUCAAGUCCAUAUUAAUAAUUCAAUAUACCUCACUUUCCAGUGUUACAAAGUGAAAAACUAGAGUCCCCCACUGAUGUCAUUUUGUAGCGUCACUCAAGGCUACUCGAUUAUUGAUAUGUUCAUCACUAUGAAACAUUUGGUAUUUCUAAAGAGUGGGUCGAACUUAACUAAAAUUAUGCCUUUUGUCGAGUCAUUCAACAAGAUGAAAUAUUAUACAAAGAUGUAAUCGAUAUAUCUAGAUGUUCUAUUAAGUUUUUUUUAAGUCACUUAAGGUUCUAAUAAAUCAAAUGGGAUUCUCACUCAUAUGAGACCCAACGGGGUUUUAUCAAUUAAUGUAGAGGGUCGUUAAUUAAAGUCAAACGGUGAGAGUAAACUAAUUUGCUUGAAAAUCACAUUAAAAAUAAUCAGAAUUAAUCUAGUGGAUCCCACACCUCACGUGAGAGGGGUGUACACGCUUAGGUACACCCCUAUAUACCAGUAGCAAUACCGAAUUAAUUAUUACAUGUUUUCGUGAGCUUGCAUAAUGCAUACUAUAAUUGAUGCUAACAAGUUUACUACACUGAAUUCUUUGUAUUGCCAUGUCAUUUGAGAAUUAUUCUCAAACACGAGAUGAUCAGGAAGGCUCUUCAUAAGACAAUUCUGGACUAAUAGAAGGAUAUCGAAAAUAAAAUUACAACACUUCCCUAACUAAACUGAAGAGUAAGAAGCUAGAUAAAGCCUCUACUUCGAAGAUUAACUCGUAACUUUCUUUUACCACUUAGGUAUUAGAUUAUUCUCAAACAUGAGACAGUCAAGAAGGCUCACAAUUAUGGACUAAUAUAGAAGGAUAUCGAAAAUAAAAUUACAAGACUUCUCCAACUACACUAAAGAGUGUGAAGCUAGAUAAAGCCUCUAUUUCGAAGAUUAACUCGUAACUUUCUUUAAGCGCUUAGGUAUUAGAUACCGGAUAUGAAUCGAACUUUUUAACAUAAAUAUGCAAGGGCUAAAAGUCGAGUCCUGCAAAUGGAAGUCAUUUACCUACUUGCUGCCGAAUGGUAUGCGCCAUGUGAAUAAAAAGUUUGCUAAGCUAAAAGGAAUACAAAUCAACAAGAUUUAGCCAUGUUUGACCCCCUUUUUCAGAGAUAAUAAGUUCCCGUUUGGCCCCAUUAUUUCAAAUUUUAAUGAUUGAAAUAAUACUUUUUGAAGAACGAGUGAUUUAAAGAGAAAAUUUUUUCAAUUUACAUAUAAUAUUAAUUUAUGUAAAAUUCUGAAGUUUAAAUAAGAGAGAAAAAUAAAAUUUAAUUUAAUAAAAGCCUAAUGGAGACUAAUUUUUGUAACAGUGAUUUAUUCUAUUUUAUUUUAUUUAUUUAUUAUUAUUUUUUUUUGGGAAGAAUGCAAGUUAAAAAGUAAUGAAAAAUUUUAGAUUUACGCGCAAAAUAAUUGGAAGAUUGUAGUUAAAAAUGAGCUCGAAGAAAAAUGUGAUUUUGAAGAAUGUAGUCAAACAAGGGCUUAAUUAGAUUCUAGCAAUGUCAUCGCUGCCGUAAAGAUGCCAAGUAAUCAAAUAAAGAUCUUAUGGGCCUUUGAAAAAAGAAAAAAAGAAACCACAUGGACGUUUAUUAGACUGCGAAAGGAAGAUAUAAAUCGUAAAAUCUGAAGAGUCCCAUACAAAUCAGAGGAUUUCAUGGGUCCCACAUUUUCAAGCAAAAUGGACCGUGUUGGAAAAGCAAAUUGACAGAUUUUUGUAAAGUAGCUUGAAUAAGAGUGAACAGAUUUUUUAACAUCAUUUUUAUUUAAAUGAGAAUUCCAGCCAGAGGAUAGUGCAAUGUCGCAGGAAAGAAACUAUGUUACUGCUGAAACCCAUUCACCAGAAGAACUUUCGACACUGGACCAUCAAAUCUUUACCAGACAUCGGGACGAAGCUCCCCAGUUGCUGGAGGCAUCCACCUUCCAGAGUUGUACACAUUUUCACCCACUUUCCAACCAGGCACGUCUUUCAUGAUU
Molecule: long non-coding RNA, 12094 nt
Filed under: Olea europaea (common olive)
Lineage: Eukaryota; Viridiplantae; Streptophyta; Magnoliopsida; Lamiales; Oleaceae
Description: long non-coding RNA (OEUR_LNC001548)
Source: RNAcentral